GUGGGGAAUUUUGGACAAUGGGCGCAAGCCUGAUCCAGCAAUGCCGCGUGCAGGAAGAAGGCCUUCGGGUUGUAAACUGCUUUUGUACGGAACGAAACGGUCCUGGCUAAUACCUGGGGCUAAUGACGGUACCGUAAGAAUAAGCACCGGCUAACUACGUGCCAGCAGCCGCGGUAAUACGUAGGGUGCGAGCGUUAAUCGGAAUUACUGGGCGUAAAGCGUGCGCAGGCGGUGCUGUAAGACAGGCGUGAAAUCCCCGGGCUCAACCUGGGAAUUGCGCUUGUGACUGCAGUGCUGGAGUGCGGCAGAGGGGGAUGGAAUUCCGCGUGUAGCAGUGAAAUGCGUAGAUAUGCGGAGGAACACCGAUGGCGAAGGCAAUCCCCUGGGCCUGCACUGACGCUCAUGCACGAAAGCGUGGGGAGCAAACAGGAUUAGAUACCCUUGUAGUCC
RNAcentral lists this ribosomal RNA (450 nucleotides) under uncultured bacterium. RNAcentral describes it as "partial 16S ribosomal RNA". It matches the Rfam family "Bacterial small subunit ribosomal RNA", at positions 354 to 796 of the family's 1533-position model. The record is from RNAcentral.